Oryza sativa Japonica Group (Japanese rice) is the source of this 630-nucleotide long non-coding RNA. RefSeq lists it as uncharacterized. The record is from RefSeq and is a predicted model, not a curated record. Lineage: Eukaryota; Viridiplantae; Streptophyta; Magnoliopsida; Poales; Poaceae.
GAAUUGAUCGGCUCCCGUCCCGGCUCCCUCCGCGCUCACGCUUCCCUCGAUACAUCAGCUCGGCUAAAGUAUAUCCCUCCCUAAUUUCUCGAAGUCUCGAUGCGCCUGCUCAUCUACCGCCGCCGCCCGCGUGUUCCCCUCUGCUUCUCUCAUAGCAGCUAGCGCCGGCGGCGGCGGUGAGCGGCCGUGCCGUGCCGCGGAUGUGUCGUCUGGACAGCAAGUCUGAUUCUGAUAGGUUCUUCUCCUGGGUUGGACUGAUGGAUUAGGAUCAGUAAGAUGCAUAUUGUAGUAAGAUGCAUAUUGUGGAUUGAGCUCAAGCCUCACUUUUUAUCAUGGUGGUUAUGUAUUUUCUGUGCAAAAUAUAAAGGAGGAAAAUGCUCAGCCUGAAAGGACUUUAAUUGCCAUAAGAGGAUGGUUUUCAAAGGACUGUAGUUUAAUAUGCAGGCUUUGUAAUAUGUACUAUGUAAUCUGCGAAAUGUUAACAGUUUGCAAGGAUUGUAGUUGAGAUCAUACAAGCUGCAAUGUAAUUGCAAGGAAAUUUAUCCGUUUGUAAUAUGUACAAUUUUUGUAAAUCUGAAAUACACAUGGCAUGUUGGUGUUUUGAAUUAUACAAGGUGAUGGACGCGUCAA